This 253-nucleotide ribosomal RNA is filed under the name uncultured bacterium. Its description in RNAcentral is "partial 16S ribosomal RNA". It matches the Rfam family "Bacterial small subunit ribosomal RNA", at positions 524 to 776 of the family's 1533-position model. The record is from RNAcentral.
UACAGAGGUCUCAAGCGUUGUUCGGAUUCAUUGGGCGUAAAGGGCGCGUAGGCUGCGGGGCAAGUCGGGUGUGAAAUCUCAGAGCUCAACUCUGAAACUGCAUUCGAUACUGCCGUGCUUGAGGACUGGAGAGGAGACUGGAAUUUACGGUGUAGCGGUGAAAUGCGUAGAUAUCGGGAGGAACACCUGAGGCGAAGGCGGGCUACUGGGCUGAUACUGACGCUGAUGCGCGAAAGCUAGGGGAGCAAACGGG